UGCCAGCAGCCGCGGUAAUACGAGGGGCGCAAGCGUUGUCCGGAUUUAUUGGGCGUAAAGGGUGUGUAGGCGGGUCUGUAAGUCGGAAUUUAAAUCCCACAGCUUAACUGUGGAUCUGGUUUCGAAACUGCAGGUCUUGAGUUCGAGAGGGGAGAGUGGAAUUCCUGGUGUAGCGGUGGAAUGCGUAGAUAUCAGGAGGAACACCGGUGGCGAAGGCGGCUCUCUGGCUCGAUACUGACGCUAAGACACGAAAGCGUGGGGAGCAAACAGGAUUAGAUA
Molecule: ribosomal RNA, 279 nt
Filed under: uncultured bacterium
Lineage: Bacteria
Description: partial 16S ribosomal RNA
Rfam family: Bacterial small subunit ribosomal RNA
Source: RNAcentral